RNAcentral lists this unclassified non-coding RNA (187 nucleotides) under soil metagenome. RNAcentral's name for it is "partial internal transcribed spacer 1". The record is from RNAcentral.
CAGAGUUGCAAAACUCCCACAAACCAUCGCGAAUCUUACCCGUACGGUUGCCUCGGCGCUGGCGGUCCGGAAGGCCCUCGGGCCCCCGGAUCCUCGGGUCUCCCGCUCGCGGGAGGCUGCUCGCCGGAGUGCCGAAACUAAACUCUUGAUAUCUUAUGUCUCUCUGAGUACACUUUUAAAUAAGUCA